AACGGUGAAAGAGAGCUUGCUCUCUGGAUCAGUGGCGAACGGGUGAGUAACACGUGAGCAAUCUGCCCCUGACUCUGGGAUAACAGUUGGAAACAGCUGCUAAUACCGGAUACGAGCUUCGAAGGCAUCUUCAGAAGCUGGAAAGAACUUCGGUCAGGGAUGAGCUCGCGGCCUAUCAGCUAGUUGGUGAGGUAAUGGCUCACCAAGGCGUCGACGGGUAGCCGGCCUGAGAGGGUGACCGGCCACACUGGGACUGAGACACGGCCCAGACUCCUACGGGAGGCAGCAGUGGGGAAUAUUGCACAAUGGGCGCAAGCCUGAUGCAGCAACGCCGCGUGAGGGACGACGGCCUUCGGGUUGUAAACCUCUUUUAGCAGGGAAGAAGCGAAAGUGACGGUACCUGCAGAAAAAGCGCCGGCUAACUACGUGCCAGCAGCCGCGGUAAUACGUAGGGCGCAAGCGUUAUCCGGAAUUAUUGGGCGUAAAGAGCUCGUAGGCGGUUUGUCGCGUCUGCUGUGAAAACUGGAGGCUCAACCUCCAGCCUGCAGUGGGUACGGGCAGACUAGAGUGCGGUAGGGGAGAUUGGAAUUCCUGGUGUAGCGGUGGAAUGCGCAGAUAUCAGGAGGAACACCGAUGGCGAAGGCAGAUCUCUGGGCCGUAACUGACGCUGAGGAGCGAAAGGGUGGGGAGCAAACAGGCUUAGAUACCCUGGUAGUCCACCCCGUAAACGUUGGGAACUAGUUGUGGGGUCCAUUCCACGGAUUCCGUGACGCAGCUAACGCAUUAAGUUCCCCGCCUGG
Molecule: ribosomal RNA, 800 nt
Filed under: Microbacterium sp.
Lineage: Bacteria; Bacillati; Actinomycetota; Actinomycetes; Micrococcales; Microbacteriaceae
Description: bacterial SSU rRNA
Rfam family: Bacterial small subunit ribosomal RNA
Source: RNAcentral